UACGGGGGGGCAAGCGUUGUUCGGAAUUACUGGGCGUAAAGGGCUCGUAGGCGGCCAACUAAGUCAGACGUGAAAUCCCUCGGCUUAACCGGGGAACUGCGUCUGAUACUGGAUGGCUUGAGUUUGGGAGAGGGAUGCGGAAUUCCAGGUGUAGCGGUGAAAUGCGUAGAUAUCUGGAGGAAUACCGGUGGCGAAGGCGGCAUCCUGGACCGGCAUUGACGCUGAGGAGCGAAAGCCAGGGGAGCAAACGGG
Molecule: ribosomal RNA, 252 nt
Filed under: uncultured bacterium
Lineage: Bacteria
Description: partial 16S ribosomal RNA
Rfam family: Bacterial small subunit ribosomal RNA
Source: RNAcentral